GAUGAAGAACGUAGCGAAAUGCGAUAAGUAGUGUGAAUUGCAGAAUUCAGUGAAUCAUCGAGUCUUUGAACGCACAUUGCGCCCCCUGGUAUUCCGGGGGGCAUGCCUGUCCGAGCGUCAUUGCUGCCCUCAAGCACGGCUUGUGUGUUGGGCCCCGCCCCCCGGCUCCCGGGGGGCGGGCCCGAAAGGCAGCGGCGGCACCGCGUCCGGUCCUCGAGCGUAUGGGGCUUCGUCACCCGCUCCGUAGGCCCGGCCGGCGCCCGCCGGCGACCCCCCUCAAUCUUUUCAGGUUGACCUCGGAUCAGGUAGGGAUACCCGUUGAACUUAAGCAUAUCAAUAAGCGGAGGA
Molecule: unclassified non-coding RNA, 348 nt
Filed under: soil metagenome
Description: partial contains 5.8S ribosomal RNA, internal transcribed spacer 2, and large subunit ribosomal RNA
Rfam family: 5.8S ribosomal RNA (bases 1-120)
Source: RNAcentral